GAUCCUGGCUCAGGAUGAACGCUGGCGGCGUGCUUAACACAUGCAAGUCGAACGGGAAACCUUUUAUUGAAGCUUCGGCAGAUUUAGAUUGUUUCUAGUGGCGGACGGGUGAGUAACGCGUGGGUAACCUGCCUUGUACAGGGGGAUAACAGUCAGAAAUGACUGCUAAUACCGCAUAAGCGCACAGGACCGCAUGGUCCGGUGUGAAAAACUCCGGUGGUAUAAGAUGGACCCGCGUUGGAUUAGCUAGUUGGG
Molecule: ribosomal RNA, 255 nt
Filed under: uncultured bacterium
Lineage: Bacteria
Description: partial 16S ribosomal RNA
Rfam family: Bacterial small subunit ribosomal RNA
Source: RNAcentral